CCACACUUGGCCGCAAGUCCUCCUCAGCUGGCUGUACGGAAGAGAGUGUCUGGGAUCUUUUUCUGCGACAGAGACAAGGAGCAGGAGGGUGGGAUGAUUGUUGGAGUGAAAUUCCACUCUGCAAAGACCAGACCAUGACUUCCUGCCAAGGUUAGGGAGUAUUUUUCCAACACAUGAAGCAACGUCCCCCAUGAGCGUCACGUCAUUAAGCACACUGGUGAAACAACAAGGGGCACUGAUGCUGGCACCACCCACAUAUCCUGCAAUUCACUGGAAACUCCUGUUUUUCUUGCAUUCAGUCCAGACGUCAUGCAGCAAUAUUUAUCUUAAAUAAAGCCAAUAAUUGUCUA
Poecilia reticulata (guppy) is the source of this 350-nucleotide long non-coding RNA. RefSeq lists it as uncharacterized. NCBI's taxonomy places the organism in Eukaryota, Metazoa, Chordata, Actinopteri, Cyprinodontiformes, Poeciliidae. The record is from RefSeq and is a predicted model, not a curated record.